RNAcentral lists this ribosomal RNA (449 nucleotides) under uncultured bacterium. Its description in RNAcentral is "partial 16S ribosomal RNA". It matches the Rfam family "Bacterial small subunit ribosomal RNA", at positions 29 to 523 of the family's 1533-position model. The record is from RNAcentral.
AGUGAACGCUGGCGGCAUGCCUAACACAUGCAAGUCGAACGAAGGCUUCGGCCUUAGUGGCGCACGGGUGCGUAACGCGUGGGAAUCUGCCCUUGGGUUCGGAAUAACAGUUAGAAAUGACUGCUAAUACCGGAUGAUGACGUAAGUCCAAAGAUUUAUCGCCCAAGGAUGAGCCCGCGUAGGAUUAGCUAGUUGGUGGGGUAAAAGCCCACCAAGGCGACGAUCCUUAGCUGGUCUGAGAGGAUGAUCAGCCACACUGGGACUGAGACACGGCCCAGACUCCUACGGGAGGCAGCAGUGGGAAAUAUUGGACAAUGGGCGAAAGCCUGAUCCAGCAAUGCCGCGUGAGUUAUGAAGGCCUUAGGGUUGUAAAGCUCUUUUACCCGGGAUGAUAAUGACAGUACCGGGAGAAUAAGCUCCGGCUAACUUCGUGCCAGCAGCCGCCGUAA